This 292-nucleotide ribosomal RNA is filed under the name uncultured bacterium. RNAcentral's name for it is "partial 16S ribosomal RNA". It matches the Rfam family "Bacterial small subunit ribosomal RNA", at positions 505 to 796 of the family's 1533-position model. The record is from RNAcentral.
GUGCCAGCAGCCGCGGUAAAACGUAGGACACGAGCGUUAUCCGGAGUUACUGGGCGUAAAGGGCGGGUAGGCGGUGCGAUAAGACUGGUGUGAAAGCCUUCGGCUUAACCGAGGGAGGACACUGGUGACUGUCGGACUAGAGGCAGAUAGAGGGGUGUAGAAUUCCGGGUGUAGUGGUGAAAUGCGUAGAGAUCCGGAGGAAUACCAGAGGCGAAGGCGACACCCUGGGUCUGACCUGACGCUGAUCCGCGACAGCAUGGGGAGCGAACGGGAUUAGAAACCCGCGUAGUCC